GAUGAACGCUAGCUACAGGCUUAACACAUGCAAGUCGAGGGGUAACGAGAGGAAAGCUUGCUUUCCUUGUCGACGACCGGCGCACGGGUGAGUAACGCGUAUCCAACCUGCCCCCAACUAGGGAAUAACCUUGCGAAAGUAAGACUAAUACCCUAUAAUUUCCUCAGAUGACAUCUGACGAGGAAUAAAGAUUUAUCGGUUGUGGCGGGGGAUGCGUCUGAUUAGCUUGUUGGCGAGGUAACGGCCCACCAAGGCAACGAUCAGUAGGGGUUCUGAGAGGAAGGUACCCCACAUUGGAACUGAGACACGGUCCAAACUCCUACGGGAGGCAGCAGUGAGGAAUAUUGGUCAAUGGGCGGAAGCCUGAACCAGCCAAGUAGCGUGCAGGAUGACGGCCCUAUGGGUUGUAAACUGCUUUUAUACAGGAAUAAAGUUAGCCACGUGUGGUUAUUUGUAGGUACUGUAUGAAUAAGGACCGGCUAAUUCCGUGCCAGCAGCCGCUGUAA
This 506-nucleotide ribosomal RNA is filed under the name uncultured bacterium. RNAcentral describes it as "partial 16S ribosomal RNA". It matches the Rfam family "Bacterial small subunit ribosomal RNA", at positions 28 to 523 of the family's 1533-position model. The record is from RNAcentral.